This 497-nucleotide ribosomal RNA is filed under the name uncultured bacterium. RNAcentral's name for it is "partial 16S ribosomal RNA". It matches the Rfam family "Bacterial small subunit ribosomal RNA", at positions 28 to 507 of the family's 1533-position model. The record is from RNAcentral.
GAUGAACGCUGGCGGCGUGCCUAAUACAUGCAAGUCGAGCGAACAGACGAGGAGCUUGCUCCUCUGACGUUAGCGGCGGACGGGUGAGUAACACGUGGAUAACCUACCUAUAAGACUGGGAUAACUUCGGGAAACCGGAGCUAAUACCGGAUAAUAUAUUGAACCGCAUGGUUCAAUAGUGAAAGACGGUUUUGCUGUCACUUAUAGAUGGAUCCGCGCCGCAUUAGCUAGUUGGUAAGGUAACGGCUUACCAAGGCAACGAUGCGUAGCCGACCUGAGAGGGUGAUCGGCCACACUGGAACUGAGACACGGUCCAGACUCCUACGGGAGGCAGCAGUAGGGAAUCUUCCGCAAUGGGCGAAAGCUUGACGGAGCAACGCCGCGUGAGUGAUGAAGGUCUUCGGAUCGUAAACCUCUGUUAUUAGGGAAGAACAAAUGUGUACGUAACUAUGCACGUCUUGACGGUACCUAAUCAGAAAGCCACGGCUAACUACGUG